RNAcentral lists this signal recognition particle RNA (294 nucleotides) under Aotus nancymaae (Ma's night monkey). Its description in RNAcentral is "Metazoan signal recognition particle RNA (ENSANAG00000009446.1)". It matches the Rfam family "Metazoan signal recognition particle RNA". Rfam says of the family: The signal recognition particle (SRP) is a universally conserved ribonucleoprotein. It is involved in the co-translational targeting of proteins to membranes. The eukaryotic SRP consists of a 300-nucleotide 7S RNA and six proteins: SRPs 72, 68, 54, 19, 14, and 9. The record is from RNAcentral. Lineage: Eukaryota; Metazoa; Chordata; Mammalia; Primates; Aotidae.
GCCAGGUGCAGUGGCGCGUGCCUGUAGUCCCAGCUACUCGGGAUGCUGAGGUGGGAGUAUCGCUUGAGUCCAGCAGUUCUGGGCUGUAGUUAUGCCGAUUGGAUGUCUGCACUAAGUUUGGCAUCAAUAUGGUGACCUCCCAGGAGCAGGGGACCACCAGGUUGCCUAAGGAGGGGUGAACCAGCCCAGGUUGGAAACGGAGCAGGUCAGAACUCCUGUGCUGAUCAGUAGUGGGAUUGCGCCUAUGAAUAGCCACUGCACUCCAGCCUGGGCAACAUAGCAAGACCCCAUCUC